GGUUGCUAUGCAAUUGCUAACCUGUAUACAUGCUUAGUAAGUUGUCAUUCUGGACCAUGGAGAAUGUGCAAUGAUCUGACGCCUUCUCUUUUAUUUUAUUUUAUUUUUUUUAUUUUUUAUUUUUUUUUUUUAUUAUUUUAUGCAAAGCAGGCUUUAAUAGUAAUUGUUUCAGAUAUGAGCUCAAAAACAUCAGCUUGAUUUAGUGAUUUAACAGGCUUAGGGCACAGAAGAAUGCUGGUUAGUCAAUCCUUUGCUUUGGAGGAACGCAUCCUGCUUCGGGUCACGGCCAAGAAAGUUACAAAGCAUUUCUGAGGCAUCAAGAGACCCACCUGGUUUCAGAAUAUAGUUCCUAUAAUCUGCACCCACCUCUUUGCACAUUAUGCCUUCCUGUUUAAACCGUGUGUAAAACAUGUCCAUAGAAAACACCUCACUCCAUAAAUAGCCAUAGUACUGUGCAUCAUAUCCUCCAGCAAGAUGGCCAAAUGUG
Pelobates cultripes (western spadefoot toad) is the source of this 487-nucleotide non-coding RNA. Lineage: Eukaryota; Metazoa; Chordata; Amphibia; Anura; Pelobatidae. The record is from the annotation of a GenBank genome assembly.